GUGCCAGCCGCCGCGGUAAUACGGAGGGUGCAUCCGUUAAUCGGAAUUACUGGGCGUAAAGCGUACGCAGGCGGUUUGUUUUGCGAGAUGUGAAAGCCCCGGGCUCAACCUGGGAACUGCAUUUCGAACUGGCAAUGUAGAGUGUGAUAGAGGGUGGUAGAAUUUCAGGUGUAGCGGUGAAAUGCGUAGAGAUCUGAAGGAAUACCGAUGGCGAAGGCAGCCACCUGGGUCAACACUGACGCUCAUGUACGAAAGCGUGGGGAGCAAACAGGAUUAGAUACCCCCGUAGUCC
Molecule: ribosomal RNA, 292 nt
Filed under: uncultured prokaryote
Description: partial 16S ribosomal RNA
Rfam family: Bacterial small subunit ribosomal RNA
Source: RNAcentral